AUUGAACGCUGGCGGCAUGCUUUACACAUGCAAGUCGAACGGUAACAGGGAGCUUGCUCCGCUGACGAGUGGCGAACGGGUGAGUAAUAUAUCGGAACGUACCCAAGAGUGGGGGAUAACGUAGCGAAAGUUACGCUAAUACCGCAUACGAUCUAUGGAUGAAAGCAGGGGAUCUUCGGACCUUGUGCUCCUGGAGCGGCCGAUAUCUGAUUAGCUAGUUGGUGAGGUAAAGGCUCACCAAGGCGACGAUCAGUAGCUGGUCUGAGAGGACGACCAGCCACACUGGAACUGAGACACGGUCCAGACUCCUACGGGAGGCAGCAGUGGGGAAUUUUGGACAAUGGGCGCAAGCCUGAUCUAGCAAUGCCGCGUGAGUGAAGAAGGCCUUCGGGUUGUAAAGCUCUUUUGUCAGGGAAGAAACGGGAGUGGCUAAUAUCCAUUCCUAAUGACGGUACCUGAAGAAUAAGCACCGGCUAACUACGUGCCAGCCGCCGCCGGUAA
RNAcentral lists this ribosomal RNA (501 nucleotides) under uncultured bacterium. Its description in RNAcentral is "partial 16S ribosomal RNA". It matches the Rfam family "Bacterial small subunit ribosomal RNA", at positions 30 to 523 of the family's 1533-position model. The record is from RNAcentral.